This 270-nucleotide long non-coding RNA is filed under the name Sinocyclocheilus anshuiensis. RNAcentral's name for it is "lncRNA (ENSSANG00000038996.1)". The record is from RNAcentral. Lineage: Eukaryota; Metazoa; Chordata; Actinopteri; Cypriniformes; Cyprinidae.
GCAUUUAUGGAGCAGCUUGAUUCAGUGACACGGUCCACUUUACAAGCUGCAAACAUCAGCGCAGCAGUUUUACCAACUUUGUCACGUGAUGACAUUCGUGAUCUUUUCCCCGGACCAGAAAACUUUUUACGACGGAAAACCAUAUGGGAGACGUUUCAUACUGACAAGGAGGGACAUGAGGCAGGAUGCCCCAAACAAAACAAGGAGCAGGAUGACAUUGGUCUGGCUCUUGCUCAAACUCUGUCUAAAAUCCCAGUGACUACAAGGCGC